AACGAACGCUGGCGGCGUGCCUAACACAUGCAAGUCGAGCGGGAAAGUUCCCUUCGGGGAGCGAGUACAGCGGCGAACGGGUGAGUAACACGUAGGUAACCUACCCUGGAGUCCGGGAUAACCUGCCGAAAGGCGGGCUAAUACCAGAUAAGACCACGAGGGCUGCGGCCCUUGGGGAAAAAGAUGGCCUCUGCUUGCAUGCUAUCACUCCGGGAUGGGCCUGCGCGCCAUUAGCAGUUGGUGAGGUAACGGCUCACCAAGGCUGAGAUGGCUAGCUGGUCUGAGAGGAUGGCCAGCCACACUGGGACUGAGACACGGCCCAGACUCCUACGGGAGGCAGCAGUGGGGGAAUAUUGCGCAAUGGGCGAAAGCCUGACGCAGCGACGCCGCGUGGGUGAUGAAGGCCUC
This 408-nucleotide ribosomal RNA is filed under the name uncultured bacterium. RNAcentral describes it as "bacterial SSU rRNA". It matches the Rfam family "Bacterial small subunit ribosomal RNA", at positions 29 to 418 of the family's 1533-position model. The record is from RNAcentral.